This 218-nucleotide ribosomal RNA is filed under the name Globigerinita glutinata. RNAcentral's name for it is "partial 18S ribosomal RNA". It matches the Rfam family "Eukaryotic small subunit ribosomal RNA", at positions 1185 to 1369 of the family's 1831-position model. The record is from RNAcentral. Lineage: Eukaryota; Foraminifera; Rotaliida; Globigerinitidae.
GUGGCUUAAUUUGACUCAACGCGGGAAAUCUUACCGGGUCCGGACACACUGAGGAUUGACAGGUAUUAUAUAGCGCGCUUGCGCGUCUAUUGUUAAAUAUGCUAGUCCUUUCAUGAUUAUGUGAUAGGUGGUGCAUGGCCGUUCUUAGUUCGUGGAGUGAUCUGUCUGCUUAAUUGCGUUUCAGAUAAGGAUCUAUAUUCUUUACAGAAGUGUUGCGU